GGAAUAUUGCGCAAUGGGGGGAACCCUGACGCAGCGACGCCGCGUGGGUGAGGAAGGCUUUCGGGUCGUAAAGCUCUGUCAGAAGGGAAGAAAUGCUUAUAGGCUAAUAUCUUAUAAGUUUGACGGUACCUUCAAAGGAAGCACCGGCUAACUCCGUGCCAGCAGCCGCGGUAAUACGGAGGGUGCAAGCGUUGUUCGGAAUCACUGGGCGUAAAGGGCGCGUAGGCGGCUUGGCAAGUCAGAUGUGAAAGCCCACGGCUUAACCGUGGAAGUGCAUUUGAAACUGCUUGGCUUGAGUAUCAGAGGGGAAAGUGGAAUUCCCGGUGUAGAGGUGAAAUUCGUAGAUAUCGGGAGGAAUACCGGUGGCGAAGGCGACUUUCUGGCUGAAUACUGACGCUGAGGCGCGAAAGCGUGGGGAGCAAACAGGAUUA
RNAcentral lists this ribosomal RNA (431 nucleotides) under uncultured Desulfobulbaceae bacterium. RNAcentral's name for it is "bacterial SSU rRNA". It matches the Rfam family "Bacterial small subunit ribosomal RNA", at positions 358 to 780 of the family's 1533-position model. The record is from RNAcentral. Lineage: Bacteria; Pseudomonadati; Thermodesulfobacteriota; Desulfobulbia; Desulfobulbales; Desulfobulbaceae.